UAGCUCAGUUGGUAGAGUGCUUGCCUUGCAUGCACAAGACCCUGGGUUCAAUUCCUAG
RNAcentral lists this transfer RNA (58 nucleotides) under Ictidomys tridecemlineatus (thirteen-lined ground squirrel). Its description in RNAcentral is "Spermophilus tridecemlineatus (thirteen-lined ground squirrel) tRNA". It matches the Rfam family "tRNA", at positions 8 to 63 of the family's 71-position model. Rfam says of the family: Transfer RNA (tRNA) molecules are approximately 80 nucleotides in length. The record is from Rfam by way of RNAcentral. Lineage: Eukaryota; Metazoa; Chordata; Mammalia; Rodentia; Sciuridae.